RNAcentral lists this ribosomal RNA (301 nucleotides) under uncultured bacterium. RNAcentral's name for it is "partial 16S ribosomal RNA". It matches the Rfam family "Bacterial small subunit ribosomal RNA", at positions 509 to 807 of the family's 1533-position model. The record is from RNAcentral.
CAGCCGCCGCGGUAAGACAGAGGUCCCGAGCGUUGUUCGGAUUCAUUGGGCGUAAAGGGUGUGUAGGAGGCCAGGUAAGUCAGGUGUGAAAUCUCAGAGCUUAACUCUGAAACUGCGCUUGAUACUGCUUGGCUAGAGGAUCGGAGGGGGUAACGGAAUUUAUGGUGUAGCAGUGAAGUGCGUAGAUAUCAUAAGGAACACCGGUGGCGAAGGCGGUUACCUGGAAGAUUCCUGACUCUGAAACACGAAAGCCAGGGGAGCAAAUGGGAUUAGAUACCCCCGUAGUCCCUGUCUCUUAUAC